Molecule: long non-coding RNA, 654 nt
Organism: Spea bombifrons (plains spadefoot toad)
Lineage: Eukaryota; Metazoa; Chordata; Amphibia; Anura; Pelobatidae
Exons: 4
Source: RefSeq, a predicted model, not a curated record
CCUAAAUAUGUUUUAUUCUGCAGCUGUGGCCUCUAUUCGGUGGAUGUCUGACCAAACCUGAACGAGGAAGAUAUUUUAUGUACUUCUGAUUAUGUUCUGCCCAGCUGUCUCUGUUCCUGUAGUGUGAUCACAUUUCAGCACCUUUUGAUUUGUAGAAUCAAUAUAUCCUGAGUUGUGGUGUCAGUAAUUUAUUUGUAGCACAAUAUCUUACAUAGAGACCAUAUGACUUUGGGAACGUUACGGGACCAAGUCAUUUACCCAGACACUCCAGAACACCGGAAACGUAAAGGUAUUCCUGAUAAGGUAUUGAAGGAAUACCUUGACAAUGUGCAGCUGGGUUUGGAACGUGAAGGCGGCUGGGACAGUGUUCAAGACUGGAUGUACUGAGUGGGGGCGAAAAGCAGAGGAUGGCAAUGGCAAGAUAAUUUUACCAUGUACCCCAGUUUGCCAUUUUGGACGAGUGCACUAGUGCGGUUAGUAUGGAUGUAGAAGGUUUAUAUCUAUGACCACUGCAGAAAGCACGUUUCCUCUUUCAACUGUGAACAAAGCUAUUCCAACCUAAGAGGAUAAGAAAAGGGAGCACAGUGUCACACAGAAAGUCCCUAUGGAAGCACCACGAGGUAAAUCUUUUAAACAUUUCAUGAAAGCACUGCA